Molecule: ribosomal RNA, 520 nt
Filed under: uncultured Glomus
Lineage: Eukaryota; Fungi; Glomeromycota; Glomeromycetes; Glomerales; Glomeraceae
Description: SSU rRNA
Rfam family: Eukaryotic small subunit ribosomal RNA
Source: RNAcentral
AGCAGCCGCGGUAAUUCCAGCUCCAAUAGCGUAUAUUAAAGUUGUUGUAGUUAAAAAGCUCGUAGUUGAAUUUCGGGGUCAGUAGGUUGGUCAUGCCUCCGGUAUGUACUGGUCUCACUAAUUCCUCCUUCCUGAUGAGCCGUAAUGCCAUUAAUUUGGUGUUGCGGGGAAUCUGGACUGUUACUUUGAAAAAAUUAGAGUGUUUAAAGCAAGCUAACGCUUGAAUACAUUAGCAUGGAAUAAUGGAAUAGGACGUUCGAUCCUAUUUUGUUGGUUUCUAGGAUUGACGUAAUGAUUAAUAGGGAUAGUUGGGGGCAUUAGUAUUCAAUUGUCAGAGGUGAAAUUCUUGGAUUUAUUGAAGACUAACUACUGCGAAAGCAUUUGCCAAGGAUGUUUUCAUUAAUCAAGAACGAAAGUUAGGGGAUCGAAGACGAUCAGAUACCGUCGUAGUCUUAACCAUAAACUAUGCCGACUAGGGAUCGGAUGAUGUUAAUUUUUAAUGUACUCAUUCGGCGCCUUA